RNAcentral lists this transfer-messenger RNA (360 nucleotides) under Calditrichia. Its description in RNAcentral is "JACKAP01 sp020635015 Standard tmRNA". It matches the Rfam family "transfer-messenger RNA". From Rfam's summary of the family: Bacterial tmRNA, also known as 10Sa RNA or SsrA, is named for its dual tRNA and mRNA-like properties. Its role is to liberate the mRNA from a stalled ribosome. Lineage: Bacteria; Pseudomonadati; Calditrichota. The record is from RNAcentral. RNAcentral also lists the same sequence under 1 other name.
GGGGACGAAAUGGUCUCGACGGGCUGCGAAGUUGGAUGGAACGGCAUGCCGGGAUUUCUCAUUAGCCCGCAAUUAGUGAGAGCAUUUUUUAAAUGCCAAUUCUGAUUAUGCAAUGGCUGCCUAAGUAAUUAGGUGACCCGUCUACCUCAGCUUUCGCCUGCUAGGGGUGGGGAUAGACGUCGCUUAUAGCAGGACGAUCUGCAGGAGCGCCCGGCUGCUGCGGAUUCGAUCUUCCGGGAUCGCCGGUGAAGGGCUAGCCGUACUGCCUGACGCCGGCUAAACUCAAUCGUACGGCUAAGCAUGUAGAUGUACCGUCGGACUCCUUUCCGGACCCGGGUUCGAUUCCCGGCGUCUCCACUU